UACGUAGGGUGCGAGCGUUAAUCGGAAUUACUGGGCGUAAAGCGUGCGCAGGCGGUUUUGUAAGUCAGGGGUGAAAUCCCCGGGCUCAACCUGGGAAUGGCAUUUGGGACUGCAAGGCUGGAGUGCGGCAGAGGAGACUGGAAUUCCUGGUGUAGCAGUGAAAUGCGCAGAUAUCAGGAAGAACACCCGUGGCGAAGGCGGCUCUCUGGAACGCAACUGACGCUGAGACGCGAAAGCGUGGGGAGCAAACAGG
RNAcentral lists this ribosomal RNA (253 nucleotides) under uncultured bacterium. RNAcentral's name for it is "partial 16S ribosomal RNA". It matches the Rfam family "Bacterial small subunit ribosomal RNA", at positions 524 to 776 of the family's 1533-position model. The record is from RNAcentral.